UACGUAGGGGGCAAGCGUUGUCCGGAAUCAUUGGGCGUAAAGAGCGCGUAGGCGGCCCGGUAAGUCCGCUGUAAAAGUCCAGGGCUCAACCCUGGAAAGCCGGUGGAUACUGUCGGGCUAGAGUCCGGAAGAGGCGAGUGGAAUUCCUGGUGUAGCGGUGGAAUGCGCAGAUAUCAGGAGGAACACCAAUAGCGAAGGCAGCUCGCUGGGACGGUGCUGACGCUAAGGCGCGAAAGCGUGGGGAGCGAACAGG
RNAcentral lists this ribosomal RNA (253 nucleotides) under uncultured bacterium. Its description in RNAcentral is "partial 16S ribosomal RNA". It matches the Rfam family "Bacterial small subunit ribosomal RNA", at positions 524 to 776 of the family's 1533-position model. The record is from RNAcentral.